GAGCGGCGGACGGGUGAGUAAUACUUAGGAAUCUACCUAGUAGUGGGGGAUAGCUCGGGGAAACUCGAAUUAAUACCGCAUACGACCUACGGGAGAAAGGGGGCAACUUGUUGCUCUCGCUAUUAGAUGAGCCUAAGUCGGAUUAGCUAGAUGGUGGGGUAAAGGCCUACCAUGGCGACGAUCUGUAGCUGGUCUGAGAGGAUGAUCAGCCACACCGGGACUGAGACACGGCCCGGACUCCUACGGGAGGCAGCAGUGGGGAAUAUUGGACAAUGGGGGAAACCCUGAUCCAGCCAUGCCGCGUGUGUGAAGAAGGCCUUUUGGUUGUAAAGCACUUUAAGCAGUGAAGAAGACUCUUCGGUUAAUACCCGGAGACGAUGACAUUAGCUGCAGAAUAAGCACCGGCUAACUCUGUGCCAGCAGCCGCGGUAAUACAGAGGGUGCAAGCGUUAAUCGGAAUUACUGGGCGUAAAGCGAGCGUAGGUGGCUUGAUAAGUCAGAUGUGAAAUCCCCGGGCUUAACCUGGGAACUGCAUCUGAUACUGUCAGGCUAGAGUAGGUGAGAGGAAGGUAGAAUUCCAGGUGUAGCGGUGAAAUGCGUAGAGAUCUGGAGGAAUACCGAUGGCGAAGGCAGCCUUCUGGCAUCAUACUGACACUGAGGCUCGAAAGCGUGGGUAGCAAACAGGAUUAGAUACCCUGGUAGUCCACGCCGUAAACGAUGUCUACUAGUCGUUGGGUCCCUUGAGGACUUAGUGACGCAGCUAACGCAAUAAGUAGACCGCCUGGGGAGUACGGCCGCAAGGUUAAAACUCAAAUGAAUUGACGGGGGCCCGCACAAGCGGUGGAGCAUGUGGUUUAAUUCGAUGCAACGCGAAGAACCUUACCUGGUCUUGACAUAUCUAGAAUCCUGCAGAGAUGCGGGAGUGCCUUCGGGAAUUAGAAUACAGGUGCUGCAUGGCUGUCGUCAGCUCGUGUCGUGAGAUGUUGGGUUAAGUCCCGCAACGAGCGCAACCCUUGUCCUUAGUUACCAGCGGGUUAAGCCGGGAACUCUAAGGAUACUGCCAGUGACAAACUGGAGGAAGGCGGGGACGACGUCAAGUCAUCAUGGCCCUUACGACCAGGGCUACACACGUGCUACAAUGGUAGGUACAGAGGGCAGCUACACAGCGAUGUGAUGCGAAUCUCAAAAAGCCUAUCGUAGUCCAGAUUGGAGUCUGCAACUCGACUCCAUGAAGUAGGAAUCGCUAGUAAUCGCGGAUCAGAAUGCCGCGGUGAAUACGUUCCCGGGCCUUGUACACACCGCCCGUCACACCAUGGGGAGUUGGAU
This 1326-nucleotide ribosomal RNA is filed under the name Psychrobacter aquaticus. Its description in RNAcentral is "bacterial SSU rRNA". It matches the Rfam family "Bacterial small subunit ribosomal RNA", at positions 93 to 1416 of the family's 1533-position model. The record is from RNAcentral. Lineage: Bacteria; Pseudomonadati; Pseudomonadota; Gammaproteobacteria; Moraxellales; Moraxellaceae.